RNAcentral lists this ribosomal RNA (366 nucleotides) under uncultured organism. RNAcentral's name for it is "bacterial SSU rRNA". It matches the Rfam family "Bacterial small subunit ribosomal RNA", at positions 526 to 896 of the family's 1533-position model. The record is from RNAcentral.
CGGAGGGUCCAAGCGUUAUCCGGAAUCAUUGGGUUUAAAGGGUCCGUAGGCGGUUUAGUAAGUCAGUGGUGAAAGCCCAUCGCUCAACGGUGGAACGGCCAUUGAUACUGCUAAACUUGAAUUAUUGGGAAGUAACUAGAAUAUGUAGUGUAGCGGUGAAAUGCUUAGAGAUUACAUGGAAUACCAAUUGCGAAGGCAGGUUACUACCAAUAUAUUGACGCUGAUGGACGAAAGCGUGGGGAGCGAACAGGAUUAGAUACCCUGGUAGUCCACGCCGUAAACGAUGGAUACUAGCUGUUCGGAGCAAUCUGAGUGGCUAAGCGAAAGUGAUAAGUAUCCCACCUGGGGAGUACGUUCGCAAGAAUG